This is a long non-coding RNA of Pistacia vera, 432 nucleotides long. RefSeq lists it as uncharacterized. The transcript is spliced from 3 exons. The record is from RefSeq and is a predicted model, not a curated record. Lineage: Eukaryota; Viridiplantae; Streptophyta; Magnoliopsida; Sapindales; Anacardiaceae.
GAUUGCAUAUGGCCGGUGUCAGAGUUCUUGCUAGUUUCGUGGCAAUUUUCUCCUGGAAUCGAGAUUAGAAGGGAACCUCUCAUGACAACAAAGUGGUGGAGAAAACUCAUAGGCCAAAUCCCUUCGAGGUCAUUUUAAAUCAAGCAGAACAAAAUCAGGAAAGGAAAGAUCGCUACUUAGUCAGCCCCUCCAUUGCUCAGCAGAAGGCAGCAAAGGCAUUAAAGAAAAAGUGUUGGAUUUGUCGACCACUUCAAUAUUAAUAGGCUAUGCAGAUGGAUUCGAUGGUCCCGUUGCCCGAUCAAUAGAGAUAGGGGUGUAACAGGCAACGCCCCCAACCCGUAGACAGUUUGGCCUUUGGCCAUGAAAAGUUACUAAAUGAUUUCUUUAUAUUAUUAAUUUUUUAUUGGGUUUAGGUUUACAAAUAAAUUUUUU